CUAGCGACUUCAGAAGUUUGAUCCUGGCUCAGAGUGAACGCUGGCGGCGUGCCUAAUACAUGCAAGUCGAACGAUGAAAUUUCUAGCUUGCUAGAAGUGGAUUAGUGGCGCACGGGUGAGUAAUGCAUAGGAAUGUGCCCUUUAGUCUGGGAUAGCCACCGGAAACAGUGAUUAAUACUAGAUACGCCCUAAGGGGGAAAGAAUUUCGCUAAAGGAUCAGCCUAUGUCCUAUCAGCUAGUUGGUGAGGUAAAUGCUUACCAAGGCUAUGACGGGUAUCCGGCCUGAGAGGGUGAACGGACACACCGGAACUGAGACACGGUCCGG
Molecule: ribosomal RNA, 325 nt
Filed under: uncultured bacterium
Lineage: Bacteria
Description: bacterial SSU rRNA
Rfam family: Bacterial small subunit ribosomal RNA
Source: RNAcentral